AUUGAACGCUGGCGGCAUGCUUUACACAUGCAAGUCGAACGGCAGCACGGGUGCUUGCACCUGGUGGCGAGUGGCGGACGGGUGAGUAAUACAUCGGAACGUGUCCAGAAGAGGGGGAUAACGCAUCGAAAGAUGUGCUAAUACCGCAUACGCUCUGAGGAGGAAAGUGGGGGAUCGAAAGACCUUACGCUUUUGGAGCGGCCGAUGUCUGAUUAGCUAGUUGGUGGGGUAAGGGCCUACCAAGGCGACGAUCAGUAGUUGGUCUGAGAGGACGACCAGCCACACUGGGACUGAGACACGGCCCAGACUCCUACGGGAGGCAGCAGUGGGGAAUUUUGGACAAUGGGCGCAAGCCUGAUCCAGCAAUGCCGCGUGAGUGAAGAAGGCCUCGG
This 392-nucleotide ribosomal RNA is filed under the name uncultured bacterium. RNAcentral describes it as "bacterial SSU rRNA". It matches the Rfam family "Bacterial small subunit ribosomal RNA", at positions 30 to 420 of the family's 1533-position model. The record is from RNAcentral.